RNAcentral lists this ribosomal RNA (497 nucleotides) under uncultured bacterium. Its description in RNAcentral is "partial 16S ribosomal RNA". It matches the Rfam family "Bacterial small subunit ribosomal RNA", at positions 28 to 507 of the family's 1533-position model. The record is from RNAcentral.
GAUGAACGCUGGCGGCGUGCCUAAUACAUGCAAGUCGAGCGAACGGACGAGAAGCUUGCUUCUCUGAUGUUAGCGGCGGACGGGUGAGUAACACGUGGAUAACCUACCUAUAAGACUGGGAUAACUUCGGGAAACCGGAGCUAAUACCGGAUGAUAUUUUGAACCGCAUGGUUCAAAAGUGAAAGACGGUCUUGGUGUCACUUAUAGAUGGAUCCGCGCUGCAUUAGCUAGUUGGUAAGGUAACGGCUUACCAAGGCAACGAUGCAUAGCCGACCUGAGAGGGUGAUCGGCCACACUGGAACUGAGACACGGUCCAGACUCCUACGGGUGGCAGCAGUAGGGAAUCUUCCGCAAUGGGCGAAAGCCUGACGGAGCAACGCCGCGUGAGUGAUGAAGGUCUUCGGAUCGUAAAACUCUGUUAUUAGGGAAGAACAUAUGUGUAAGUAACUGUGCACAUCUUGACGGUACCUAAUCAGAAAGCCACGGCUAACUACGUG